This is a long non-coding RNA of Sarcophilus harrisii (Tasmanian devil), 2469 nucleotides long. Lineage: Eukaryota; Metazoa; Chordata; Mammalia; Dasyuromorphia; Dasyuridae. The record is from Ensembl.
AUCGAUUUCAGAGAGAUUGGCGCGAGCCUGGGAUUGCUACUGUAGCAACUCACGGUGAUACUCUUUACCUUAUUUUAAGCCUCGGAGAGCCCCAAGGCCUACCUGGUCCCCUUUUCCCGGGCUCUGGGGACUCUACUUAGAAAGUUUGUUAAAAGGAAUAACUGAAGCAAAGCUUCGCGAAACUUAAACUGCCAUUUGCAGCUAUCUCUGGUUCCGGCCCGACCCGUCGGUGCUUGAAGCUACAUUCCGUUUCCUGGAAAUAUUUCCGUCGGGAAACUAAGACUUUGGGGUCGCUCGGGUGUCUGGAUUGACAAAUAAAGAGACGGGAAGUUGGGGGAAGCCCGACCUUUGCUUGACACUUCCUCCUCUUCGAGACGUCUGUGGAGCCGGUAAUUCCGCAGGGUCUUGUCUCCCGCCGAGGUGGGCAGGAAGUGCUCCGAACCUUGCUAGUCCUGCGAGGACGUCCUUAAACCAAUCGCUUUGGGCGUGACCUGGUCUCUCAGAUCGGUCAGAAAUCACGCAAUCUUAUUCUAGGGAGCAGGAAACUCCCAUUCAUGGUCUGCAGUGAUUGAACCAAACUCUUCUUGGCUGGUCCGGGUGGUUUCAACUCUUGCCUGUACACAAUAGACCCCCAAACAUUUUUAUUUUUAUUUUAUUUAUAUUUAUUUUUGCUGAGGCAAUUGGGGUUAAGUGACUUGCUCAGGAUCACACAGCUAGGAAGUGUUAAGUGUCUGAGACCAGAUCUGAACUCCAGUCCGGACUUCAGGGCUGGUGCUCUAUCCAUCCAAACAUCUCUUUUAACUGUCAGUCUCUGCUUCAUUUUAUAUGGAUUACUUUCUUGUUCACCCCAUUUUGGGGUUUUCUUAGCAAAGAUAAUGGAAUAGACUCAACUGCUUUUACAAGCGAGGAAAUUGAGCAAACAGACUGACGUGACUUGGCCAGGGUUACCCAACUGGGAAGUGUCUGAGACCACAUUUGAACUCAGGUUUUGCUCAUUCCAGGCCCAGAUAUUCUGUCCCUUUCACCACCUAGUUGCCCAAAACUUGUUUAAGUUCUUAAUUUGAUUUGAUUCAACAAUAACACUUGCUUGAUGUGCUAUGUUUUAUGAAUUCAAAGACAAUUAGGAAAAAGUCCUUGACCUCAAUGAACUUAUAUUCUAUGGGGGAGAAAACAUUAUUUACUCAUGUAAACAUACCCACAUUUUGGGAAGAAGGGCACAGAUCUAAUCUGUUCUCAAUAUAACAGGUAUCCCAGAGGAUACAAUGAAGGGAUGAGUGGAAUGGGGUGAUAUAGAGGGGACAUAAUGGAACAGGAAAUGAUAAUCAGGCUUGGGUUUUUGGACAAAGCAACCUACAAGUCAACCUACAAAUCAUUGGUAUUGGGAGUGGAGCCAUAGGGAAAUUGGUGGUAAUACCCUGAUAGGUGCAAUGGAAAUAAUGAUUUUAUUUGACUGAGAGAAAAAAAGUGGAAACCAUAUUAUAGGGGGUAGGAUGAAUGGGUACAAAGCAGGAAUUUGUAGAGUCCCAGGGCCAGCCUGAAGCAAAAAUGUAUAAAAAGGAAUUCAUAGGGCAUAGGAGAAGUACUGGGAUGGGAUGGGACAAUUGAUGUUAGGGGAUAGAAUUCCUUUCGUUCCCCCCACUUUGUUUAUUUUCUACUUUGCAGAGAAUGGGAUGGAUGCAGUGCUGGCGUAGAAUCUGGCUACUGCCUCAAUACACCAGCUGUAAUUUAAUCCUUUGGGAUCCAUGUGAGUGAGUAGCUAAAUGGCAUCAGAGCUAGAACACUGGACUUGGAGUCAGGAAAACUCAUCUUCGGUAGUUCAAAUCUGACCAUAGAUACUAGUUGCAUGUGAUUCUAGAGGAAGUUAUUUAACCCUGCUUGCUUCAAUUUCCAGUCUGUAAAAUGAAAAAGGAAAUGGCAAAUCAUGCCAGUACUUUGCCAAGUAAGUGCCCCCCCUCCAUGGGGUCAUGAAAAGUCAGACAGUUGGAAAUGAAUCAACAAAUAGUGGCAGGAACGGGAAACUGAGUGGAUGCCCAUCAGUUGGAGAAUGGCUGAAUAAGUUAUAGUAUAUGAAUGUUAUGGAAUAUUAUUGUUCUAUAAGAAAUGAUUAGCAGGAUGAAUACAGACAGACCUGAAGAGACUUUCAUGAACUGAUGCUGAGUGAAAAGAGCAGAACUAGGAGAUCAUUGUAUAUGGCAACAACAAGAUUAUACAAUGAUCAGUUCUGAUUAUAUGUGACUCUUUUCAACAUCAAGGUGAUUCAGGCCAGUUCCAAUGUAUUGUGACAAAGAGAGCCAUCUGCACCCAGAGAAAGGACUGUGGGGGACUGAGUGUGGAUCACAACAAAAUAUUUUCACUUUUAAAAUUGUUAUUUACUUGCAUUUUGUUUUCUUUCUCUUUUUUUCCCUUUUUGAUCUGAUUUUUCUUGUGCAGCAUGAUAAAUGUGGAAUUGUACAUCUUUAACAUGCAGAC